Molecule: long non-coding RNA, 1340 nt
Filed under: Macaca mulatta (Rhesus monkey)
Lineage: Eukaryota; Metazoa; Chordata; Mammalia; Primates; Cercopithecidae
Description: lncRNA (ENSMMUG00000064993.1)
Source: RNAcentral
AGGAAUCAUCAGGAUACAAAGCACUUCUUUCAAGACAGAAAUGAAGUACUCAAUAGAAAAACUGGAAGUUAGAUAAAUCAGUUCCAGUUCAAAGAUCUUGACAAUACUUUGGAGAUGUAAUAGAGAUUCUAUGAAGCUGCUACUGUGAUUCUGAAGAAGCAAUGGGAGAGAGAAAAAAGAGAAGAAAAAGAACUGUUAAGUAAGACCCAGGAGUCAGAAAGGAAAAACUUGGUCUUCAGAAUAAAAAUCAGAAGUGGCAGAUAUAAUAACCAUUAUGUAUAUGACAUGCAUAAUAAAAUUUGGCUGACAGACUCCAGCAAUGAUUCCUUUUAUUCCAUAGAAACCUUUUAACCACCUUUACCAACUGAACUGUGUUUCACCAAAAUUCAUAUGCUAAAAUUCCUAAUACUUGAUAUAAGUGGAUUUGGAGAAUGGAUCUUUAAAGAGGUAAUUAAGGUUAAAUGAGGUCGUAAUGAUGAAGCCCUAAUUGGAUAAGAUUGGUGUCCUUAAAAAGAAAAGGAAGAGACAAAAAAGAUUUGGGAUGUGCACACACAGAGUAAAGACUGUGUGAAGUGGCAUGAGAAUGUAGCUAUCUGCAAGCCAAGCCGAGGCUUCAGGGGAAACCAAUCCUCCUGGCACCUUGAUCCUGAAAUUCCAGUCUCUAGAACUAUGAGAAAAUAAAUUUCUAUUAAUUUUGCUAGCCAUUCUGUGUGUGUGUGUGUGUGUGUGUUUUUCUUUUUAUGACUGUCCCAGCAAACUAAUGCAAUCAAAACUGAUACAUCCAGUGAGAGGGAGGGAUGGAAACCUUAACAAUGGGAUAGUUGAAAUAACUAAUAAUUAAAUAAUUUUUUUAAGUAAAUGGGAAGGAUAAGAGGGGGUUGUUUAUCAGGCAAAGCUGAGAUUGGGAGUCAUUAACUUUCUAUAACAUACUUCUAUACUAUGUUGGAAUAAUUUCAAAUUGAAAUUAUAAAUUCUCUGAAAUUAAUUUGUUAGCUCUGGCAAAGAUGUGAUCAAUAUAAUAUAUGAUUUUAUUGAUUGUCAAAAGCAAAAAAUUUAAAGAGUGCUAAAAAUUGAGAAAAAAAUCAGAAUCAGAAAGGGCAAAGAUAUUAACCAACAACUCAAGGUUAACUUGUUAACAAUAUCAUAGGGAAGAGUGAUUGAUAAUAAGCAUUAAAACCAACCACUAGUUGGCCAUUUAUUAUAAUUUACUUUGCUUUUCCCUACAUGUUUUAAUAGAAAGUAGAUGAAUGAUUCUGUUUAAUCUUAGGAGUGUAAUUGUCAUGGCUAUAGUUUGAGUGCCUUUUUAUUAACAUGUGGGCACAAUGAAGAUGAAAUCCAAG